Balaenoptera musculus (blue whale) is the source of this 451-nucleotide long non-coding RNA. RefSeq lists it as uncharacterized. The transcript is spliced from 3 exons. The record is from RefSeq and is a predicted model, not a curated record. Lineage: Eukaryota; Metazoa; Chordata; Mammalia; Artiodactyla; Balaenopteridae.
CCCAGGAGGCCCGAGGUAGCCGAAUUCCUCCUGUCCCGCACCCUCACCUCCUUCUGCAAAGAAGGAACGUUCCAUUGCUAGGGACUGAACGUUGGGAGCAACACGAAACUCAGAAGAGCGCCAGCGUUUGCAGGAGAAGCCAAGCGGUUCUGAGCCCGGGAGCCACAGAAGUCAAGUCCAGUCCAGUGUUCGCUGGGCAGCCCUUGGGCUGUGUGAUGAGUUAGGAUAUGCUGCCCACCUGACUUUUCAAGUUCAGGACUUUCCUAGGGGAUGAGAAGGCAGGGUACUCCCCUCAUCUACUCUAUUACGCUUCUCCUGCUCGAUGGAUGGAACCACCAGAUCCCCACACUGUGCAGGCAAAGCCAGUCCCAGCCAUGAAACAUGACACCUGUGAAGAUUUUUGACUGGAGGACUGUUACCCAUUAACCCAGGCCCUUUCAAUACAGUCAGG